Vidua chalybeata is the source of this 280-nucleotide long non-coding RNA. RefSeq lists it as uncharacterized. The record is from RefSeq and is a predicted model, not a curated record. The transcript is spliced from 3 exons. NCBI's taxonomy places the organism in Eukaryota, Metazoa, Chordata, Aves, Passeriformes, Viduidae.
GUCUCACUCUACCAGUGGCUCAUUUCUUCAGUUACAGGAUGUACCUUCAUUACACUUGAUAUAUUAUAUUAAACACAUAUUCCUGACUGUCAGGGACCAGUUGGGCAGAAGAGGGCUGUGCUGGGGCUGGGGGCUGGCAGGGCAGGCAAUGUCACGCUGCCACCAGGAAGGGUGCAGCCCUGCAGCACCUGCACAAGGAAUAAAAACUAGGAAAUGGCAAGUUUUCAGGAACCUGAAGUCAUCAUUCAAAACCUGACAGUCCACUAGAGGGGAGGUUGGG